Molecule: unclassified non-coding RNA, 244 nt
Filed under: Hevea brasiliensis (rubber tree)
Lineage: Eukaryota; Viridiplantae; Streptophyta; Magnoliopsida; Malpighiales; Euphorbiaceae
Source: RNAcentral
GUCCUUAUCCUCAAUCAUUCUUCUGUCAGCUCAAAAGUUCAUAACUAUGUUGAAUUGCAGAAAGCUUCCUCCUCCACUAUAUCCAAUCGUCUUCGAUUCAUUGAUCUGCCCAAAGACGAGACUGAAUUGUUUAAUUUUUCUUCUUUCAUUGAGAGACAGAAACCCCAUGUCAAAGAAGCUGGGUUGAAGAUCACUCAGUCCGAGUCAAGCGUUGACUCUCCUCAGCUGGCGGGUUUUGUUAUCG